GGGAAGUUGGCUCAAUGGUAGAGUUCUUGCCUUGCAUGCAUGAGGCCUUGGGUUCCAUUCCUGAGCACCACA
Molecule: non-coding RNA, 72 nt
Organism: Dipodomys ordii (Ord's kangaroo rat)
Lineage: Eukaryota; Metazoa; Chordata; Mammalia; Rodentia; Heteromyidae
Source: Rfam